RNAcentral lists this small RNA (40 nucleotides) under Arabidopsis thaliana (thale cress). Its description in RNAcentral is "ATSL300330". The record is from RNAcentral. Lineage: Eukaryota; Viridiplantae; Streptophyta; Magnoliopsida; Brassicales; Brassicaceae.
AUGAAGCCAUUUGAGAUUCUCCUUGUCUUCCUCGUUCAUA